UAUUACUUUUUAAAAAAUACAGGUUUGUAAUGUUACUUAGUAACAAGAUACCAUUUUACUUUGUUGUUGUACAAUAGCCUGAAAAUAGGUACAGGCUAGUGAAGCGACUCCAUCUCAUAAAGAAAUAUAGGCAUUCACUGGUCCUGGCUGUCUGUGAGCUGCUGCCAGUCCACCCUUCAGCCUGUGGGGAGGGAAGGGGAGGGGACAGAGUGGAAGCACAGGGCUUUUCACACCCAGGUGAGCAGGAAACUAGUCUGUCAGACCAGUUCUCACUAGUCACUUUGGUGAGAACUUUCAUGCUCACUUAGCUGUAUGGGAGACUGUGGGGGGGCUCCCCUGCUGCCUAUGGCAUUCCUGGGCCAGAGAUCAGAAUCUGAGCCACUGUCUUGACCUAAGCUGCAGCUGUGGCAGUGCCAGAUCCUUAACCUAGUGUGCUGGGCCAGGGAUUGAACCUGUAUCCCAAGAGGCCACCAGUCUUGUUGCUCCACAGUGGGAGCUCUUAGGAUGGUUUUUAUAGAACUAGAAUUACUGGUCCAAACAAUAUGAACAUUUGGAUAGAAUUUUUAUUUCUGCGCUACUUCUCUAAAGCAACCAUUAUAGUACUCAGGAGACUGAGCAAAGGCUGACUGUGUAAAACUUGGAAAAAUAUAAUACUGUUGAACCUGAAGAAGGAAAAAUGGGAAUCCAUGCCAUUCUUGUUGGGAGCUAUUCACACCGCCCCCCACUGUGUCCUAGCUUGGUUGGCAUGAGGUUCUGCCAGCCACAAGCAGACCAUAGAGGCCACAGCUUAAAGAGGGCUCAGCUCUUUGGAGUGGUGGGUGAUGCCCAGCGCCAUUUUCUGUGGAUGUGAAUUUUCAGAGUGCAUGGGAGGGCGUGUGGCUCAGCUCAGUGGGAUUGCAGCACUGUCUGGGGCAAGUGUGUUCCUGGAUGAGGCCAAGUAUAAGUACAGGAAAGACCUGAGAAGGCCCAAGGUAUUCUCAUGCUUUUGACUGACCCCGAAGUUGCAUGUGUGCACCUAGGAGACAUGAAAGGGCCCUUUGGAAAGAUAACCCUGGGGCACACCGAACUUCAGAUGAGCUCCCCAACCCAUACACAUACCCAUCAACAGAGGUGGGAGCCUCACUGGCCAGAGGCUUAAAGAUAAGAAUAGGGAGUUCCCGUCAGUGGUUUGGUGGAAGUGAAUCUGACUAGUGUCCAUGAGGAUGCAGGUUUGAUCCCUGGCCUCGCUCAGUGUGUUAAGGAUCUGACAUUGCCAAGAGUUGUGGUGUAGGUCACAGAUGCGGCUUGGAUCCCAUGUUGCUAUGGCUGCAGCUCCAAUUUGA
RNAcentral lists this long non-coding RNA (1322 nucleotides) under Sus scrofa (pig). Its description in RNAcentral is "lncRNA (ENSSSCG00015072884.1)". The record is from RNAcentral. Lineage: Eukaryota; Metazoa; Chordata; Mammalia; Artiodactyla; Suidae.